UUGCUGUCUCUUUCAGAAAUCCCAAGUGAACAUAUGAGUUACCAGAAAAUGGAUGAAUGAGUAACCUCUAGAGGCCGAGUUCAGUUGGGGAAAAUUCCAAGAUACCAGGAUAUGGAGAACAGAUAUCAGUGAACGUUAACAACACUGCAGUGUGGAGAAGAGAGUUAGGAUUACUCGAGGCUCACAUAACAACAUACGGAUGUUUUCCUGAAUUGAUUACAACCUGGUGGAGCUGCUGGGGUGACAUGAGAGCAGACAAGGAGCACUGUACUGAAGCUGAUGAUCUAUCACAGAAGUAUGGCCUUAGACCUUCUGUUUUCUAUGUAGGUUAACAGAAACCUCUUCUUGCAGAUGCCCACCUUGUGCCAUUUUGCAUGUGAGUUUUGAAGAUACCAGGGACUAGCUGCUUCUUUGAACUUCACUUGACAACUGGAAGGACUUGACAGUGAGAUUCCACCUUAUGGGCAAGAAGAUUGAAAUUGAUAAUUUUCAUCUUCAGAAAUCUACCCCAGUUUUCUGCUUCUGCCAAGACUUUGUACAAGGCCUAGAAUCUGUACCGGCAUUGUGGAUAUUCUGUCUUCUGCUUACUUUACAUGUUUGGGCCAAUGUUUCAACUUUAAGAGCUACACAGUUCACAUUUUUUUAAUUAAAGAUGAAACUUGCAAGCAUUAUUCUGUAAAAAAAUAUAAAAAUAAAAAUCCAUUCUAUCAAAGCACGUUGAGGUUCACUUAUAUGUUGCCUAGUCUAAGAUGGAAUUUUUAAAACGUAAAUAUUUUCCUACCGUGACAAGGGGUGACAUUUGAGACACUGAAAUGGCCACUGUCACUAGAAGGUUCAAGAUUAGUUAUUUCCUGGUGCCAACAAGGAGAAGUAAUGAGGGAAUAGAUAUUUAAAUUACAGACCUAUAAUUCUGCCAUCCUCACUUAAAAGUAUGGGGAUACUAAAAUUCUCUACUUAGAGAUAAGAGUGCCUGUGGUGCACCUGUUUCCUGGUUAAAGUAGAGGAGGUUUGGAUUGCUUUGGAUUACUAUUAAGACAAAAUGGGUUCUAAAGCAAUGCAAACCCAAGGUCAGCUAAUUUCUUCAGGUAAAAGAUCACAUCAAGCACAACAAUCAAUUAAUUGCAAAGAAGUUUGGGUAGCAGGACAGAGACACAAAGCCUGAACCAGUGUAUCUGCAGUAGAGAGAAAGAAAAAAUUUGCUUACAGAUGAAGAGUCAUGGGCAAAACCAAGGACUUCAUAUUCCACUGCAAUAACUAUCCAAAAAAAAAGAAAGGGAAAAUGAGCAGCAUCUACAGUGUUUAAGAAUAUUGAGAAUUCCAGGGACCAAGAGGUAUCUGUCAUAUGACCUGAACUGCUUUGCAGCCUCUUGAUUCAAGUGCUGUGCAGGAAAGCAGGCUGCUAUAUUUGCAAUUGAGCUGUUAGAUCAUAAACCAAUUCAACUGCAGCUGAAUCAAGGGACCAGCUGCAACAUGAGCCCCAGAAAUAUUGAUAAUAUUACAAAUGUUACAGUAGAGAAACGUAGCUGAGAGCUGGUGAUAUUCAGUAUAUGUACUCUUGAGUCCUGUAAGCAAAACCAAGCUGUUAAUAAGAAAUCUGUGAAACAAGCAACAGUAUCUCCUGGAGUCUGUAGCAGCUGACAGGAAGGAAUACCGUGCUGAGCUACAGUGUAGCAUGAAAAAGAGCAAUUUGCCCACCAAGUGCCAUCAAAGAUACUCCAAACUGAACGAGGGAGAACAGCAUCCUGAUACGAUGGGGAUCAUCCAUUUUUCCAGCAGCCCUAACAAAGCGACUGAAGAAGGAACAGGCAUAGCUUCAAAGGAAAGGUGUUACAUCUUCUGAAACAAGCACAGUGUGGAUCUGCCUCCAGCCAGCAGUGACAAAGUUUUUUGGUAAAUCAGAGAUUGGCGUUGGCUCAGAAACACUUCACAGUGAAGAAUAACAUUGUUCCUGAACUGCCUCUGAGGGGCUUUUGUCUGCUUUGCUAACAUUCAGGAUUGUCUAUUUUGUGUUAAAUUAAACAGGUUCCUGUCAUCUGACAAAGUUUUCUUCAUCCUGUGGUACAGACGGGAGCAGCGGCGCGCUCGGGAGCCGGGUGAGCUGAAGCAAGCAGCCCCCUACACAC
Pezoporus occidentalis (night parrot) is the source of this 2123-nucleotide long non-coding RNA. RefSeq lists it as uncharacterized. The transcript has 7 exons. The record is from RefSeq and is a predicted model, not a curated record. Lineage: Eukaryota; Metazoa; Chordata; Aves; Psittaciformes; Psittacidae.